Molecule: long non-coding RNA, 622 nt
Organism: Helianthus annuus (common sunflower)
Lineage: Eukaryota; Viridiplantae; Streptophyta; Magnoliopsida; Asterales; Asteraceae
Exons: 4
Source: RefSeq, a predicted model, not a curated record
UAGGGUUUCUCAUUCUCAGAGCAUUUUAUCCGCCCCAUCGAGCUGCAAGAUCUGGCGAUUCAAAAAGAGAUCUAGGGUUUCUCUUGGUGAUGCAAGAUCUGGCUUUCUCAAUGACACCAGAUCAGCGAAUCUCUCUCUAUACGACACCCAAUCGACUGAGUUUGAAGGUGGUGAAGGGUUUGGAUCUGCCAAUCAGUGACGUAUGAGCAAGGGGGUGUUUGGUCUGCCAAUCGGUGAUGUAUGAGCAAGAUUUCACAAGAUCUAAAGACGGUGUGGUGUGUAGUGUUAAAUCCGACGACUACGGUUACGGUGGUAUAAUUCUCAAGCCGAUCGGUGGCAAUAGAGACGAGUUCCGGUUUUAGAUGGUGGUUGAGGUAGGUUCCGACAAACUGAGUUGCAGAUCUAGGUUUCACCAGUUGGCGUAGGCGAUACUGCAUCAUCAAAAUGGAUGGUUUCUGAAUGGAGAUCCCUAAAGUUUUUAUGUGGAGGCACUGACUUUUUGGUAAUUUUAUUCCUGCAGUUAGAAGAACAUCACAUGUAUGUUUUGUAUCAAUCAAACAUAUAGAAUCAAUAAAUGAGAACUGGGGUGUAAAUGUAAAUAAGUUUUCUGGUUUGUAUUCUC